RNAcentral lists this non-coding RNA (25 nucleotides) under Rattus norvegicus (Norway rat). The record is from RNAcentral. Lineage: Eukaryota; Metazoa; Chordata; Mammalia; Rodentia; Muridae.
UGAUGUUCAGGUGAAAUGUUAGCCA